AUCACCUACUGGAUAAAUAAAUCAUAAUAAUAAUAAUAAAAAGAUUAAUCAAGAUUUUUUGGAAUUAUCAAAAAAAUUUUAUUUUAGACUUUAAUUGCACAUACAAUUACAUUGACAAAAGGAUUGCAAGUUCAAUAAUAACCUUCACAGAAAACGUUUCCAUGGAUUUGACAAGACAGGAUCUUGAAACUAUUUUGACUGGCAAAAACCUGGACCAUCAACACUUUGUUUAAGGAAAUGGACAUCGAUUUUAGUAUAACAUAUAUUCUAAAUACUGUUUCAAAAUGAAAAAAAAAAAUCAAAAGUUGAUGAAACAUUAGAACAAAAUGCUUGUGAUGAUUAUUUAAAGAAACUACUUGAUAAGAUCAUGAAUUGGCCUGUGAAACGUUUUAAUUUGUGGACUUCUAUUCCAAAUAAAAUUAUCUUUGAAGCCAAAGAACAUAAAAAGAUUCUGUAGCUAGAAUGGUCACUUUACUGGGAGAUAAUGACAUUUAUUUUGCUGAUCCUUUUGGUAAUGUGCAAUACUAAUUAAUAUUUGCUGUAUAAAAAGAGAAAUGAAGCUUGAGAAUAAGCAAGAGUCAAAGGAGAGCAUGGACUGUGUAAUAAACAUGUCCUGUGAAGUAACAUAAUUGAUCUUAAAGUAAAAUUGAAUUUAUAAACAUAAAAAAACAUGAGAAAUACUAGGAAUAUUUUGACUAAUACGCUGUAUGUGUUUAACAUGUGUCUAUGUGUGAGUUAGACAGAAAAAGUUUGUUUUGAGGAAUUAUGCCAAGUAGAAAUCAGAAUUAAUUCAAGAAGGAAUAUUUUUUAUCAGUACAUACUGCAUUAAAAUUUAUUAUCAGAGAAAUAGCUCUCUGAUUUUUUGAUACUUUUAAUAAAGCUGCAAUGGUACAAAUGGUGGUCAAAUUCUGUAUGGUUGAUUGUCAACAUAUUUUUUCUAUGUGCCAUGACCUAUGUGUGUUUAUGAUGGAGUUGUGUUUUUGCCAGAUAUGUCGAAAUGAUUAAAAAUAAAUUUAAAAAAUCA
Molecule: long non-coding RNA, 1024 nt
Organism: Saccostrea cuccullata (small rock oyster)
Lineage: Eukaryota; Metazoa; Mollusca; Bivalvia; Ostreida; Ostreidae
Exons: 2
Source: RefSeq, a predicted model, not a curated record